ACGUAGGGUGCGAGCGUUAAUCGGAAUUACUGGGCGUAAAGCGUGCGCAGGCGGUUGUGUAAGUCAGACGUGAAAUCCCCGGGCUCAACCUGGGAACUGCGUUCGAGACUGCACGGCUAGAGGAUAGCAGAGGGGGGUAGAAUUCCACGUGUAGCAGUGAAAUGCGUAGAGAUGUGGAGGAAUACCGAUGGCGAAGGCAGCCCCCUGGGCUAUUACUGACGCUCAUGCACGAAAGCGUGGGGAGCAAACAG
Molecule: ribosomal RNA, 251 nt
Filed under: uncultured prokaryote
Description: partial 16S rRNA
Rfam family: Bacterial small subunit ribosomal RNA
Source: RNAcentral